RNAcentral lists this ribosomal RNA (819 nucleotides) under uncultured Hapsidospora. RNAcentral's name for it is "eukaryotic LSU rRNA". The stretch from base 221 to 819 matches the Rfam family "Eukaryotic large subunit ribosomal RNA", at positions 1 to 626 of the family's 3401-position model. The record is from RNAcentral. Lineage: Eukaryota; Fungi; Ascomycota; Sordariomycetes; Hypocreales.
UUGCGCCCGCCAGCACUCUGGCGGGCAUGCCUGUCCGAGCGUCAUUUCAACCCUCAGCACCCCUUCGGGGGUGCCUGGCGUUGGGGAUCGGCCCGCCUCCGCGCGGGCCGGCCCCGAAUCCCAGUGGCGGCCCCACAGCGAGCUCCCCUGCGCAGUAGCGAUACCUCGCAGCCGGACGAGCGUGGCGGCCACGCCGUAAAACACCCCACUUCUUCAAGGUUGACCUCGGAUCAGGUAGGAAUACCCGCUGAACUUAAGCAUAUCAAUAAGCGGAGGAAAAGAAACCAACAGGGAUUGCCUCAGUAACGGCGAGUGAAGCGGCAACAGCUCAAAUUUGAAAUCUGGCCCCCCGGCCCGAGUUGUAAUUUGCAGAGGAUGCUUCUGGCGACGCGCCUUCCGAGUUCCCUGGAACGGGACGCCACAGAGGGUGAGAGCCCCGUCCGGUCGUGCGCCUAGCCUGUGUGAAGCUCCUUCGACGAGUCGAGUAGUUUGGGAAUGCUGCUCUAAAUGGGAGGUAUACGUCUUCUAAAGCUAAAUACCGGCCAGAGACCGAUAGCGCACAAGUAGAGUGAUCGAAAGAUGAAAAGCACUUUGAAAAGAGGGUUAAAUAGUACGUGAAAUUGCUGAAAGGGAAGCGCUUAUGACCAGACUUGGGCCCGGUGAAUCACCCAGCGUUCUCGCUGGUGCACUUUGCCGGCCCAGGCCAGCAUCAGUUCGCGCCGGGGGAUAAAGGCUUCGGGAAUGUAGCUCCCUCGGGAGUGUUAUAGACCGUUGCGCAAUACCCUGGGGCGGACUGAGGUACGCGUUCUGCAAGGAUGC